RNAcentral lists this ribosomal RNA (250 nucleotides) under uncultured prokaryote. Its description in RNAcentral is "partial 16S ribosomal RNA". It matches the Rfam family "Bacterial small subunit ribosomal RNA", at positions 524 to 773 of the family's 1533-position model. The record is from RNAcentral.
UACGUAGGUGGCGAGCGUUGUCCGGAAUGACUGGGUUUAAAGGGGGCGCAGGCGGUCCUGCAAGUUGGAUGUGAAAUACCGGGGCUCAACCCCGGAGCUGCAUCCAAAACUGUAGGACUUGAGUGGAGUAGAGGCAAGCGGAAUUCCGAGUGUAGCGGUGAAAUGCGUAGAUAUUCGGAGGAACACCGGUGGCGAAGGCGGCUUGCUGGGCUCUAACUGACGCUGAGGCCCGAAAGUGUGGGUAGCAAAC